This 761-nucleotide ribosomal RNA is filed under the name uncultured fungus. RNAcentral's name for it is "bacterial SSU rRNA". It matches the Rfam family "Eukaryotic small subunit ribosomal RNA", at positions 804 to 1590 of the family's 1831-position model. The record is from RNAcentral. Lineage: Eukaryota; Fungi.
UUAGCAUGGAACAAUGCCCUACGACAUGUGGUUCUAUUUUGUAGGUUGACCUUCCGGUCAAAGUGAUUCUCGCUGACUCUGUGGGGGAUCCGUAUUCAAUUGUCAGAGGUGAAAUUGUUGUAUUUAAUGUGUACUUGCUACUGACUAAGCUUUUGUUGAGGAUGUUUUCCCUAAUCAAGAACGAAAGUUUGGGGAUCCAAUACGAUCUAAUACCGACGUAAUCGUAACCAUCAACUAUGCCGAUUAGGGAUCGGACGGCGUUAUUUUUUGACCCGUUCGGCACCUUACAAUAAAUCAAUCAGUUUGGACUCCUGAGGCAGUAUGGCCUCAAGGCUGAAGGUUAUGGAAAUUGACCGAAGGGCAACACCAAUGGUGGAGCCUGCUCCUUAAUUUGACUCGCCCUUCCGAAACUCACUUUGUCCAGACCCUUGAGGAUUGACAGAUUGAGAGCUCUUUCUUGAUUUUUGGGUGGUGGUGCAUGGCCGUUCUUAAUUGGUGGACUGAUUUGUCUGCUUAAUUGCAAUAACUAACGAAAACUACAACUGCUUCAUAUCCCGUAUUGUUUUGUCACUUUCCCUGCUUAUUAAAGGGACUAUCGUUUCAAGACGAUGGAACUUUGAUUAAACAUCAGGUCUGUGAUGCCCUUAGAUGUUGAGGGCCGAAUACUGAUGCCACUGACUGAGCCUAUUAAUCACUCCCUUGGUCCUAGGCCCAACUAAUCUUGUUAACACCUGUCUAUGCUGUUAAUACAUGCUAGCAAU